This 1665-nucleotide long non-coding RNA is filed under the name Sus scrofa (pig). RNAcentral's name for it is "lncRNA (ENSSSCG00000063135.1)". Lineage: Eukaryota; Metazoa; Chordata; Mammalia; Artiodactyla; Suidae. The record is from RNAcentral.
GACCUGCCACCCUCUCCACCUGGAAUACUCCUCCCCUGUCAUGUUUGUCCCCUCCGCUUCCUUCAGGACAUGCUCAUGUGACCCCUUCGGAAUGAGGCCUUUGCUGACCAUAUAGAUGAAGUAAUCCAGCCCCAAACGCUCCCUGUCCCCCCAGCUCACCUUCUUUUUGUUUGUGGCACUGGCACCGAUCACUUACCUGAUGCCACUCUGGGGUGGUCCUGAGGGCAAGGACUUGAUUGAGUGCCCUCCUUAAUCCUCUUGCCUGGAAAAAUGCCUGCCACAUAGUAGGGGCUCUAUAAACGUUUGUUGAAUGACUGAAUGAGAGUACUUGGGCAGUUUUGGAGGAAACAGAUGGGAGGAGGGAAAGAUCGGUGAUAGAGAUGGGUGAAUUCGGAGGUUAUUGCUGUGGUCAUCCUGAGGUUUGGUGAGAACCUAAGCCCAGGGGUUGGAGAGGAGAGGAGAAGAUGUGCUCCUGAUGGGUUCCGUUUGGGAUGAGAGGGAAGGGGUGGGAGGGCAUCUGGAAUACUCUCUGUUACUAGCUUGGCAAUAAAGCAUACCAGAAGAAAAUCCCGAGCAUUCCUUUUAUAAAGCAUAUUGUAUUAUUAUGAGAAGAUAAAUAACUUAUUUCUUUAAUUUGUGUUUGUCUGAGAUACAGUUUCUCAAAGGCUCUGAGUAACCCUUGCUGAAAUGCCAAUUUUACUUUGAGGUCAAGUUUCCUAAACUGUUUUGAAAGCUAGCCGUGCGGGGAGGCUUUGGCCUCCAGGGAGUUUAUAACUUUAAGUAGAGAGAUUUUUCUGGAUCUGGAAGCUAAACUGGAGUUUUUGAAGGUCUGAAAACUUCAUUAGCUGUUUGGUACCUUGAAUCAUUAACAGAAUUAAUAUUUCAAAUAUGAAGUUUACAGUUCUUCCUAUUUCUUUAUAUAAGGAUGGUCUCUGAAGCAAAGGCCUCAACUACCUCUUUUAUUCUACUGGUGCCACUCUGGAUUUCCCCAUGAGGCCCAGUAACUGGCAUCUUCUAGACGGCUGGGGGUAAGCAGCUUAUUUGCAGGCUGGGCCCUGGCCCAUUUCUUUAAGCCUUGGAGUCAGGAAGUUGGUGAAAUUCUUGAAACUCUUGUAUUUUCUGUCUUUUUGUUUGUUUUAGGGCCCCACCCGCAGCAUAUGGAGGUUCCCAGGCUAGGGGUCCAAUUGGACUUACAGCUGCCACAGCCAUAGCAAUGCAGAUCUGAGCCACGUCCAUGACCUACAUCACAGCUCAUGGCAAUGCCAGAUCCUUAACCCACUGAGCGAGGCCAGGGAUCAAACCCUCAACCUCAUGGUUCCUAGUGGGAUUCCUUUCUGCUGCACCAUGGCAGGAACUCCUGGAUGUUUUCUAAUUAAAAAAAAAAAAAAAAGGUGAUAGAUUUAAAGUUCUUCACUGAUUAUAAUCCAUUACCUUCUUCUAAGAUAAUUUUUUCUCCCUUCUUACGUCUCACUUGCCAUUUUGGGAGCUUUGCCUUUUGGCUUGGGCUCCUCUAGAAAGCAGAGAUGAUGGCUUGGUCCCAUAUUGGAGGGCUCUGCUUCUUUCCUGUGUGGUUGGCGGGGUCACAUCUGUUAAGUGGAAGGGGCUGGCCUAGAGGCUCUGCAGUCAUCUUCCAGCAUUGAAUUCUGUAUUCUAAACUCUGAGUCU